CGUAUUUUUCCCAUCAGUGUUUUCUUUCCUCUGGCCUCGAAAUUUUUAUGCCAACCCUAAAAAGCCUUCCCUUCCCGAACUCGUGUCCUUCAAACCCCUCUCCGUCCAACCCCUCUCCGACAAACCCCUCUCCUCAAAUCUCUCCUUCGAACUCCUCUCCGUCCAACCCCUCUAUGACGAAACCCUCUCUACGAAUCUCUCCUCUGAACACCUUCAAACAAUAGGUUGUUUUUUAGGAUCAGUCAUGCCUUGCCUUGAAAGCCUUCACUACCACUCGAAGCAAGCAGUGGUACCAUGUCGAUCUCAACCUCUACACAGAGAUGAUCUCCACCUUGUCUAGGUGCGGAUCGCCGCACGAGAUCGAUACCCUAGUCGCCAAUCUAAUGGAGGAGGAGGGAUGGCUCUCCGCGAAGACCGCCAAGGGGGUUCCCCAGCUCGUUAGGGCUUUGAUGGCCGAUCGGUGGUGAGGAGGAGAGCCGAUUGGCGGUAGCGGAGAAUGUCAAGAUUGGAUUUUACUUCGCCACGUGGUGGGCGCUGAACGUGGUGUUCAACAUCUACAAUAAGAAGGUUCUCAAUGCCUUCCCCUACCCUUGGCUGACCUCCACGCUCUCCCUCGCCGCCGGCUAGCUCCCUUAUAUUAAUGCUCAUCUUCUGGGAUACUAGGGUUACCGAGCUGCCCAAGACCGACUUGGGAUUUUGGAAAUCCCUAACUCCGGUGGUCAUGGCUCACUUCUGCACUUUACCACUAUGCCAUUAAAUGUCUCAUUUCAUUCUAGACCAACCUUGUAAGCAUAUGAAUAUUGGUCAAUAUUCGAUGCAAAUGUUUUGAGUUUGAAGGAAUUCACUGAUCCAACGCCUAAAGAAGGAACAUCCAUUUUGAAGGCAAUAUCUUCAGCUAUGGUAUUGCUCAAAGGUAAACAAUCAUCAUGUGGUGUUGCAUUGUUAACUGAUUCUAAUUAUGGGACAUGAAUCUAAACUCGAAUUUAAGGCUCCCAAAUUAAGAAGCACACCUUUCUAAUUAUCCAUUGAAAAAAUAUAUCAUAAAGAAUUAAUAUUUCCAAUUUAUAGGAGUAAAUGCUCAAUGCUAGUGGAUAUUAUGUUCCUUAAUUUUUAUACAUGUAACUGCAAUAAAGUCAUUACACAUUUUUUGAUAUAUUGUGGUCAUGUGAUCACUGUUUUCUUUAGACAGGAUUUAGCUAAUAGUCUUUGCCUCAGUUUUCUUAAAGGAGUUAUUUAUCUUUGGUAGUGAACCAAGAUGAGGUAUUUGUUAGAUUUUAUUUUAAAUUAAAUUGUCACUUUUUUUAUUAAUCAUCCUAUCUAACUGUCAUCAUUUGAAAUUAUUAGAAGCCUCGAAGGAAGAAGCUUGAACAACCAAAAAAGAAACAUACUUUGUCAACAAGUAUCCCAAGAGCAUUACAUAUGUUAUAUUGUUAUAGUAAGCGUGCUUUAGAUGUUUGUUUGGCGUUGCAUGCUGAGGCUGUCAAGCCUAAAUCUAAUACACUGUGAUUUAUACCUUCGUUGCUUAUUAUUUCACUGUCAUUUACCUUUCUGUUUUUGAUUUUGUUUGGAUAUCCUUUUUAACAUUGCAUGACAUAAUUUUGCUUGUUUCUACAGGUUUGAUGUUGUUAUACACUUCGCUAGACUAAAAGCUGUUGGUGAAAGUUCAUUUAGGAAUACUUUUAUUUGUCUAAACCCCUACUACAUUUUGCUGGACACAGUUUAUAAUUACUUUUUCUUUAUCUUACAGUGAGAGUCUUCACCAGCAUUCAAGAAAAUGCUCUAGUUAGUGGUAUCCUUUUGACUUCCUAGUAAAAUAUAUUUGAUUUUUGAGCAAUAGUUUCUCCAGCUUAUUAAUUUUCACUGCUGUUUAUUAGUGGGUUCUUAUCAAUCCUAGUGGCUAGUUGCUUGGAUGUAGAUGCUCCAAUUCUAAUCAACACAAUGACACUCUAAUAUGGAUAAUUUUUGUUUUGUACACAAUCUAAUUAUCAUUGGUGACUAGUCACUUAGGUGGAGAUGCUCCAGUUCUUAAACUCUAGAUCAUUUUUUUCCUACUUGGCUGCAGCCACAUCAACAAUAGUUAAAAAAUUACAAGGGCAACAAUUAAGCUGUAGUUCAGAUACAUUGAAGUACUUUCUUGUCUUAAGUUUGUUGCCCUUAAUUCAUGCUAAGUCAUUAUGGGUUCAGUGAUCAACAUUGUGAUGAAUGGCACAACAUUAAGUAUAUUCUGCAAGCUUUCUUUGCAAAUAUUCUGCAAGCUUUCUGCAAGAUUUUUGUAAGCUUUAUGUAAGAUUUUUGGCAAGCUUUAAGUCUAUCAAGCAUGUUAAACUAAAAAUUCUACAAGCUUUCUUUAGGAAGUUGGCAAUUUUCCACUAUUAGUUAAACUCAUAUUCUAAACGUUUCAUUUUAGUUUUCUUUCUGCAAAUACUGUAUGCAUUUUAGAAUGAAGAAAUAUUGUAUGCAUUUUAGAAUGGAGAAAUUACAAGCUUUCUCUGCAUAUUAGAAACUGAAGAAUGCAGUUUAGAAACUGCAUGCAUUUUAGAAUGCAUAUUAGAAACUGCAUGCAUUUUAGAAUGCAGUUUGAAGAAACGUUGCCUUUCUUUCUGCAAGCUUUCUUUCUGCAAGCUUUAUUUCUGCAGUUUGAAGAAACGUUGCAUUUCUGCAACAACAGUGCUUUUUGCAAGAAAGCAUUUGCAGAGAAGAAAGCGUUUCAUUUCUGCAAGCUUUCUUUCUGCAGUUUGAAGAAACGUUGCAUUUCUGCAAGCUUUCUUUCUUUCUUUCUUUCUGCAAGCAUUUCAUUUUUGAGUAAUGAGUUUUGGUUCAUUUAUAGAAACUAGCUAGUAUAAGUAAUUUUUUGGUUCAAACUAUUGGCUGUAAUUUUUUGUUUAUAUUUCAGGCUAACUGUUCAAUAUGUUCAAAGCUCACAAAGAUCCUAGCCAAAAUCCAAUUGCUUAUUCUUGUAAUAGAUUGAGAAAGACAAGUUACUUCUUCAGUAUUGUGGUAGUAAUUACUGUACUGUUUUGUCCCGUUCUUAAGCCGAUAAUAAUUUUUGAGUGUAGCUAGUAGAAGUAAACAGAUUAUUGGCUUUGAGGUCGGCUAGUUAUUUUGUGCUCUUUUGUUUUAUAUGUGAAUAUCACUAUCUACUUUGAAACAGAAUUAGUGUUAAUUUUGAUA
Molecule: long non-coding RNA, 3171 nt
Organism: Zingiber officinale
Lineage: Eukaryota; Viridiplantae; Streptophyta; Magnoliopsida; Zingiberales; Zingiberaceae
Exons: 3
Source: RefSeq, a predicted model, not a curated record